AAAUUAUUACGGUGUAGAUCGACUCAUGAAAUCCUCCAUAAAGAACUUAAUUUUAAUUAAUUCUACAGUUUAUAAUCCAUCUAAACUUCUAAACCAUUGGAUCAUCAAUAUUAGGUCUGGAGUCGUCCCUUGAUUCCAUGACCCUAAUCAUCUCGUCUAACAUGUUUCCUAUCCUCGAUUAUAUUUUCCACAUGUCGCCGCCACGACAUAGCCAUGGCUUCUAUUUCACCCUACAACCCUAGAUCUUCCCGUAACCUAAUCAUCAAACAUCAGCCAUCUCAGAUUUUAGGCAAAAACAAUCAGCUCUCCGGGACGUAGAAAGUUGACUCCUUCUACCACACGAAUGAUGUGAUUUAAUUACUGGGAGGAAGUGUUUCAGAAAAUAGAGCCAUGGACUCAAUCGGCCAUGCUACUGCCACCAUCCGACCUUUCCGAGGCGAGACAAGGUUCUUUAAAGCGUUCUCGCACGUAUAAAAUCAAAUACAACUUGGCUACUUAUAGAGUUGUGUGGGCAUGAUAAGAUGUGCGGGUAUACAUCAGCUAG
RNAcentral lists this long non-coding RNA (544 nucleotides) under Hordeum vulgare. RNAcentral describes it as "long non-coding RNA (HVUL_LNC014966)". Lineage: Eukaryota; Viridiplantae; Streptophyta; Magnoliopsida; Poales; Poaceae. The record is from RNAcentral.